This 520-nucleotide ribosomal RNA is filed under the name uncultured bacterium. Its description in RNAcentral is "bacterial SSU rRNA". It matches the Rfam family "Bacterial small subunit ribosomal RNA", at positions 8 to 518 of the family's 1533-position model. The record is from RNAcentral.
AGAGUUUGAUCCUGGCUCAGGAUGAACGCUAGCUACAGGCUUAACACAUGCAAGUCGAGGGGCAGCAUGAGCUUAGCUUGCUAAGCUUGAUGGCGACCGGCGCACGGGUGAGUAACGCGUAUCCAACCUUCCCCUUAGUAGGGCAUAGCCCGGUGAAAAUCGGAUUAAUACCCUAUGUUCUUCACAGCGGGCAUCUAACGUGAAGCAAAGGUUCACCGCUAAGGGAUGGGGAUGCGUCUGAUUAGGUAGUCGGCGGGGUAACGGCCCACCGAGCCAUCGAUCAGUAGGGUUCUGAGAGGAAGGUCCCCCACAUUGGAACUGAGACACGGUCCAAACUCCUACGGGAGGCAGCAGUGAGGAAUAUUGGUCAAUGGUCGAGAGACUGAACCAGCCAAGUAGCGUGCAGGAUGACGGCCCUAUGGGUUGUAAACUGCUUUUAUGCGGGGAUAAAGUCACCCACGUGUGGGUGUUUGCAGGUACCGCAUGAAUAAGGACCGGCUAAUUCCGUGCCAGCCGCCGC